Molecule: transfer RNA, 85 nt
Organism: Felis catus (domestic cat)
Lineage: Eukaryota; Metazoa; Chordata; Mammalia; Carnivora; Felidae
Rfam family: tRNA
About the family: Transfer RNA (tRNA) molecules are approximately 80 nucleotides in length. Their secondary structure includes four short double-helical elements and three loops (D, anti-codon, and T loops).
Source: Rfam
GCCUGGGUGACUCAGUCGGUUAAGUGUCUGACUUCGGCUCAGGUCAUGAUCUCACAGUUUGUGAGUUCAAGCCCCACAUCGGGCU